GAUGAAGAACGUAGCGAAAUGCGAUAAGUAAUGUGAAUUGCAGAAUUCAGUGAAUCAUCGGAUCUUUGAACGCACAUUGCGCCCGCCAGUAUUCUGGCGGGCAUGCCUGUCUGAGCGUCAUUUCAACCCUCAUGCCCCUAGGGCGUGGUGUUGGGGAUCGGCCAAAGCCCGCGAGGGACGGCCGGCCCCUAAAUCUAGUGGCGGACCCGUCGUGGCCUCCUCUGCGAAGUAGUGAUAUUCCGCAUCGGAGAGCGAUGAGCCCCUGCCGUUAAACCCCCAACUUUCCAAGGUUGACCUCAGAUCAGGUAGGAAUACCCGCUGAACUUAAGCAUAUCAAUAAGCGGAGGA
This 348-nucleotide unclassified non-coding RNA is filed under the name soil metagenome. Its description in RNAcentral is "partial contains 5.8S ribosomal RNA, internal transcribed spacer 2, and large subunit ribosomal RNA". The stretch from base 1 to 120 matches the Rfam family "5.8S ribosomal RNA", at positions 35 to 154 of the family's 154-position model. The record is from RNAcentral.